UCCGUAGUUGAACCUGCGGAGGGAUCAUUACCAGAGUGCCCUAGGCUCUCCAACCCAUUGUGAACUUACCAAACGUUCCCUCGGCGGGCUCAGCGCGCGGUGGCCUCCGGGCCUCCGGGCGUCCGCCGGGGAAAACCAAACCCUGAUUUAAUCGUAUUUCUCUGAGGGGCGAAAGCCCGAAAACAAAAUGAAUCAAAACUUUCAACAACGGAUCUCUUGGCGCUGGCAUCGAUGAAGAACGCAGCGAAAUGCGAUAAGUAAUGUGAAUUGCAGAAUUCAGUGAAUCAUCGAAUCUUUGAACGCACAUUGCGCCCGCCGGCACUCCGGCGGGCAUGCCUGUCCGAGCGUCAUUUCAACCCUCAGGCCCACCCUUCCGGGGGAGCGGGCCUGGUUCUGGGGAUCGGCGGCCCUCGCGGCCCCCGUCCCUCAAAUUCAGUGGCGGUCGCGCCGCAGCCUCCCCUGCGUAGUAGCACAACCUCGCACCGGAGAGCGGAACGACCACGCCGUAAAACACCCAAUUUUUUAAGGUUGACCUCGGAUCAGGUAGGAAUACCCGCUGAACUUAAGCAUAUCAAUAAGCGGAGGAA
Molecule: ribosomal RNA, 587 nt
Filed under: Sarocladium strictum
Lineage: Eukaryota; Fungi; Ascomycota; Sordariomycetes; Hypocreales; Sarocladiaceae
Description: eukaryotic LSU rRNA
Rfam family: 5.8S ribosomal RNA (bases 197-350)
Source: RNAcentral